RNAcentral lists this long non-coding RNA (1152 nucleotides) under Strigops habroptila (Kakapo). Its description in RNAcentral is "lncRNA (ENSSHBG00005000048.1)". Lineage: Eukaryota; Metazoa; Chordata; Aves; Psittaciformes; Psittacidae. The record is from RNAcentral.
CGCUAUGAAGAGACUUUAUUAUUUAAGUACACAAAACGAAUGUAAGCUGUCAGUGCUUACACUUUAUGAAUUAUAUAAAAGAAAUCUGAGAAUUUUUUUCAGCUAUUUUGUUUCUUAAAUGAACAGUAGUCAAUAGAAAAAGGAGGAAACAGAGGCCUGCGACUCAUCUUGGAUGUCAGCAGUUACCUCACAUGCACAGAUUUUUUAUCUUCUCCAUCUGUAACAGGAUAGAAUCAAUAGGGUUUUUUUCCUUUAGAUGUAACAGCCAUGUGCCACCUCAAAUAUGAUGCUCAGUGAUCAAGAUGAAAAUCACUGUGUUUUAAUAUAAGCGGGGGGAGCUAUUUGUUAAAAGCUACAGGGAUUAGUCUUCAUACGACAGAAAUCAGAAAACAUACCCGCGUUGGGCAGCAAUAUGUAAGUUAAAUUUCUACGUAAGUUCCCACGUUAUAUUUCAAGCAAUUCCCUGCCGAUUUCUAUUUAUAAAAGCACAUCCGAGUCCCCAGAACAUGCACCCUCCCUGCCCACGCUUCAGACAGAAACUGAAAUGAAGCCGCAGCGUUUCGCUUCCAGCUGCCGCAAAGGCACCGCAACUUUCCUCCCGUGGCCCCCAAGCCCUCCGGCCGCGGCGGGCAGCGGGCUCGGCCCCCCGAGCACCCGCCGGGAGAGGGAAUGAGCGGGCUCGGGGGCCGUUUUAAGUAGUGCGGGCGCUGCUGCGGGAGGGCUGGCAUUACCGGUGCUCCUGCGGGGAAAGGAGCGGCGCGUCUCACCCAGCAACGCUUUCAAACAAGCGUCGUCCUUUAGAGCACAAGCCCGCUCGGAGGACGGCUGCGGGCACACACCGCACCGCCGCCGGGCCCCCUACCCGGCUGACAGGCCGCGGUCCCCCCGCCCGGCGCCUACCUGCGUCCGUGCCGCGCCGCUCCGCACCCGCGUACUCAGCGCCGGCCGCCGCGCCCCGCCGCCGCCCUCGCCGACCAGCCGCAGGGGCCUGAUGCUCUCCCGCUCCGCGAAGCGGCUCUCGCCCCGCCGCCCGGCUCCUCCUGGGCAGGGGAAAGGCACCCGUCACCUGCUGCGCCCUCGCCUCCGGCGCACAGGCUGGAGCGGGGGCUCCGCAGCAGCCCCGGGCGCAGCAUCCCCCCUUCCCCGCUGCCC